RNAcentral lists this ribosomal RNA (306 nucleotides) under uncultured bacterium. Its description in RNAcentral is "partial 16S ribosomal RNA". It matches the Rfam family "Bacterial small subunit ribosomal RNA", at positions 507 to 807 of the family's 1533-position model. The record is from RNAcentral.
GACAGCAGCCGCCGCGGGAAUACAGAGGGUGCGAGCGUUAAUCGGAUUUACUGGGCGUAAAGCGUGCGUAGGCGGCUUCUUAAGUCGGAUGUGAAAUCCCUGAGCUUAACUUGGGAAUUGCAUUCGAUACUGGUUAGCUAGAGUGUGGGAGAGGAUGGUAGAAUUCCAGGUGUAGCGGUGAAAUGCGUAGAGAUCUGGAGGAAUACCGAUGGCGAAGGCAGCCAUCUGGCCUAACACUGACGCUGAGGUACGAAAGCAUGGGGAGCAAACAGGAUUAGAUACCCCGGUAGUCCCUGUCUCUUAUAC